This 459-nucleotide ribosomal RNA is filed under the name uncultured bacterium. RNAcentral describes it as "partial 16S ribosomal RNA". It matches the Rfam family "Bacterial small subunit ribosomal RNA", at positions 338 to 795 of the family's 1533-position model. The record is from RNAcentral.
CCUACGGGGGGCAGCAGUGAGGAAUAUUGGUCAAUGGCCGAGAGGCUGAACCAGCCAAGUCGCGUGAGGGAAGACGGCCCUACGGGUUGUAAACCUCUUUUGUCGGGGAGUAAAGCGAACCACGUGUGGUUCAUUGAGAGUACCCGAAGAAAAAGCAUCGGCUAACUCCGUGCCAGCAGCCGCGGUAAUACGGGGGAUGCGAGCGUUAUCCGGAUUUAUUGGGUUUAAAGGGUGCGCAGGCGGUGUUGCAAGUCAGCGGUCAAAUUUCGGGGCUCAACCCCGUACUGCCGUUGAAACUGCAUCCCUUGAGUGCGCGAGAAGUAUGCGGAAUGCGUGGUGUAGCGGUGAAAUGCAUAGAUAUCACGCAGAACUCCGAUUGCGAAGGCAGCAUACCGGCGCGCAACUGACGCUCAUGCACGAAAGCGUGGGUAUCGAACAGGAUUAGAUACCCUGGUAGUC